Mastomys coucha (southern multimammate mouse) is the source of this 368-nucleotide long non-coding RNA. RefSeq lists it as uncharacterized. The transcript is spliced from 3 exons. NCBI's taxonomy places the organism in Eukaryota, Metazoa, Chordata, Mammalia, Rodentia, Muridae. The record is from RefSeq and is a predicted model, not a curated record.
CUGUGUAUUUAACAUGUAUACAGUUGCCAGUGGAGAGAGAGACCAGAAGAGACCACCAUAUCCCUUGGAGCUAGAGUUGCAGGAGGCUGUGAGCCACUCAACAUGGAUGCAGGGAACUGAAUUUGAAUCUUUGGGGAGAACAGGAAGUACUCUAAAGUGUUAAGUCAUGUGUCUAGCCCCUUAUUUACAUACUGUUUUAAUGUAUAUUUCUGCUUUUUGUGACUCCAGAGAAAAGGAGGGAGGACAACGUUACAUACACUGCUGAGGCAAGAUUGAGUGUAUAAUCCAUCAACAUGUUACCUGCUCCCUGAAGGCCUUUUAAAGGGAGGAAUGAUAAAUUAACAUCCGAGAUUUCCCAAACAUGAUGG